CACCAGAGAAUCGCUGGACUUCGAAAAGUUAUGCCAUGCAGGCCAUGGACUUUCUUUAUUAGUGACAGCAACAGAUGAAC
Molecule: non-coding RNA, 80 nt
Filed under: Heterosigma akashiwo
Lineage: Eukaryota; Raphidophyceae; Chattonellales; Chattonellaceae
Source: RNAcentral